UGACGGUCUUAGCAACAAACGUCACGCUAACAAAGGUGUCCUAAUUGGUGACUUUGUGAAGCGUGGGAUCAUGGGAGUUGUUGUCUUUCACCACCGUCGCAGAAGAAAUUACAACAGAAAGUAGUAACGGACAAGAUGUGUUAACAGGACAUAGAGGCACUGAUGUAAAGAGAACUGAAUCCACCACACCUGCAUUGGUUUCUGAGAGAAGAUCAUGAUAGCGUCUGUGCAACUGAGACAGCAUGUGAUGAUGCGGGGAUUUCACAAUAGGAUUAACCCUGUUAAGUUCAAUUUUGGCAAACUGAUGUCAGUAUCUACACUGAAAAUCUUCACGUGGAGCCAUAUUUAUUUUUAUCUUUACCGUCUGAAGUUCAGAUGAGCUGUGUUGUAAGCAUUCAGCAGCAGGGAUGCACUAUCGUAGGUUAUUCACUCUGUGUGUCCUAAGCAUCCCAUCCAUCUGUGUGUUCCUUUAAUUGCCCUGCAACCGGGAACCUGACAAGGAUCCUACUGUCUGCUGUUACUGGAAAUGGAAAUAAAUAAACCUGAUUGACUGUC
This is a long non-coding RNA of Amphiprion ocellaris (clown anemonefish), 555 nucleotides long. NCBI's taxonomy places the organism in Eukaryota, Metazoa, Chordata, Actinopteri, Pomacentridae. The record is from Ensembl.